Scatophagus argus is the source of this 182-nucleotide small nuclear RNA. RefSeq annotates it as U2 spliceosomal RNA. The record is from RefSeq and is a predicted model, not a curated record. The transcript has a single exon. Lineage: Eukaryota; Metazoa; Chordata; Actinopteri; Scatophagidae.
AUAUGCUCAUGAUUUCAUUUGCAACAGUAUCUGUUCUUAUCAGUUUAAUAUCUGAUACGUCCUCUAUAAGGGGACAGCAUAUUAAAUGGAUUUUUAGCACUGGGAGCCGAAAAAGGGGCUUGCUCCGUUCGCUCCACGCAUUGACCCGGGGUUGCAGCGCUGCCGGUUUUGGGGCAGUCGUG